GACGAACGCUGGCGGCGGGCUUAACACAUGCAAGUCGAACGGAAAGGCCCUGCUUUUGUGGGGUGCUCGAGUGGCGAACGGGUGAGUAACACGUGAGUAACCUGCCCUUGACUUUGGGAUAACUUCAGGAAACUGGGGCUAAUACCGGAUAGGAGCUCCUGCUGCAUGGUGGGGGUUGGAAAGUUUCGGCGGUUGGGGAUGGACUCGCGGCUUAUCAGCUUGUUGGUGGGGUAGUGGCUUACCAAGGCUUUGACGGGUAGCCGGCCUGAGAGGGUGACCGGCCACAUUGGGCCUGAGAUACGGCCCAGACUCCUACGGGAGGCAGCAGUGGGGAAUAUUGCACAAUGGGCGGAAGCCUGAUGAAGCAACGCCGCGUGCGGGAUGACGGCCUUCGGGUUGUAAACCGCUUUAGCCUGUGACGAAGCGUGAGUGACGGUAAUGGGUAAAGAAGCACCGGCUAACUACGUG
RNAcentral lists this ribosomal RNA (468 nucleotides) under uncultured bacterium. RNAcentral describes it as "partial 16S ribosomal RNA". It matches the Rfam family "Bacterial small subunit ribosomal RNA", at positions 28 to 507 of the family's 1533-position model. The record is from RNAcentral.